UCUUCACACCUAAUCGGUAAGAGGCGUUCACCUUUACCUGUGAAAAAUUGGUUAUGAAGUGUAUUGUUCCUGCAUUCCUCAAGAUUCAAGAUGUAACAGAAAUUCCAGAUAGCUUAGAGACUACAUUCUCAGAAGUCUUGUGAAAAGAAGAUUAAAUCUGUAAGUUGGAUCACUGGGAAUGAGAUGAACAAGUAGUACGGGUAUGUAACAGCAUAUGUUUGGAGGACUUUGUUGGUAUUCCGGAAUGCAAAUUGUAAGGAGUUACAACAUCUUGAACAUUUCCACAAUCAGUGGGGGACAAUUCAGAAUGGUGCCCACAACCAGUAUCAUACAUCAAACAGAUACCAAUGGCCGACAUUGAAAAAUUGAUGAUUAUUUUAAAAAAGAAGAACUAGUGGGAGGGCAGUUAAUAUGUAACCAGUGUUCCUGGAUUUUGUACCAGUUCUGACCGGUUUCUAUGCAAGUAACUGUCAACUUCUCCACUUGAAUCAUUUGAAAAGAAAUGGUAUAAGACAUUGCUGUGUUCAACUAACUAAAUUGUGAUUGGAAAUCAUCUGCCUUACACCAAAGACUCAACCUUGUGCAUCAGUGAUCUAUAAUGCUAACAGUUUUGGCUGCAGGCAUUGCAAGAUAUUUCAAAUCAUCAUUUAGUAACCAAUCAGCAAGCUGCAACCAGUCAAACAAUCAACCAACCAACACAAACUAGCUUAUAAUAGACAAACAACAACAGAUAACCACCCACAACCAACCAACCAAAGCCAAUUACCAACCAGCCAAAGACAACUUAUUAAAUAAACCACAAUCAUGCAACCAACGUUUGCACCACCAGCAAACCACCAAUCAAUCAGCCAGCUAAUCAACCAACCUACCAACCAACCAACAAAUUAAAACCAACCAGUCAACAAACCAAUCAAAUAGCAGCCUUGUUCAAUUAACUUUUACUGCAAAUGUCAUCUUUACAAAAUGACUUGCUAAAACACCUGUUAGCUCAAAAGGAAGAGUGUUGGACUGUGAAUCAGGUCACCAGGGUUCCAUUCCUGGACGGUGCAGGUCACUCUUGUUGUGAUCGAUCAUGAAAACCUGCUAUGGUCAUUCACACUGUACCCCUGCUCUGGUAUGUACAAAGGUUUUAGUUCCUUGCAAAAGUGUAGGCUACUAGUACUGGUAAACUGUUGGACAGCCUGCCUAGGAAUAAUGCAGUGACUAAACUGUGCUCUGGUAAAUUCAAUGUGGCUUGCUGCCGUGAUUCGGAGUGAAAACUACCAACACAACCACGAAAUUCUGAUGAAAGACGUGCAUCAAUGUUGGGAUCUUGAUGUUAGAAAGAUGGUGGGUAAACUGCUAAACCUGUACCAAUUACUCAUUUAAGAACAUAUACUUUCAUCUUGAAAUCUCAGACAAGAUGUACUAGCUACUAUGUGUUAUGAACUGAUCAUGAUAUAAAAGAUGUGAUUAAAAUUAACUUUGAAAUUCUAUCUUUUUUCAUGAAUUCUAGAAAGUAAUGUGAAUAUUUAGUGUAUAAAAACUAUAAGGCUUAAGUUUUUGUAAAGAUAUUGUUACAUAUUAAGUGAUGCUCAGAUACAAUCAUAGCAAUAAGUGGUUUUGCAAAUAUUGCCUGGAGAUAACAUUACAAGAAUGAAAACAAACUAUUUCUUAAACAAAAAAGAAAACAAACUAUUUCUUAAACCAAAAAAAAUGUUACAAUUUGUAUAAAUUGGGUUCGAAAACAUCUUCACAUAAAUGUUGCUUUAACAUAAAAUGGAGACUAACAUCCCAUAUGUAAAUAUUAUUUUAAUCCGUCAAUAAGUCACAAAAUCAACAAAAUUAACUGCUCAGACCAUGGGAACAAUACCCUACUGAUAGCCCCAUUUUUCACCAAAGAUCAAUAUUGACAUAUUUUAUAUUUGAAGAUAACACUUACAAGUGAUAGACCACAUUCAAAUCUUAAAGAGUAACUCGGCCGAGCUAAAGUCUUUGUUUAAACAGUAGAUCUCAACUGAUAACAACUUUUAGGAAAAAUUCAAAUUUGGUAAGAAAUUCCCAAAACAAACAGAGGGUUUGUUUGCAUACUGUACUCUGGAGACAUACCUAAGGAUACACUCUAUUUGUUAAAGAGAUAUUGUAUGCCCUUGGGUGAAGGCUUAAUUACAGUAAAAGUACUAGUGCUUCUG
Ruditapes philippinarum (Manila clam) is the source of this 2171-nucleotide long non-coding RNA. RefSeq lists it as uncharacterized. The transcript has 6 exons. NCBI's taxonomy places the organism in Eukaryota, Metazoa, Mollusca, Bivalvia, Venerida, Veneridae. The record is from RefSeq and is a predicted model, not a curated record.